AAUGAACGCUGGCGGCGUGCUUAACACAUGCAAGUCGAGCGAGGCCUGGGGGGCAACUCCCAGAGUCGAGCGGCGGACGGGUGAGUAACACGUGGGUAACCUGCCCGGAAGUGGGGAAUACCUCGGGGAAACUCGAGCUAAUACCGCAUGACAUCUUUGGGACGAAAGUCCUGACGAUCAAAGCGGGGUCGCAAGAUCUCGCGCUACCGGAUGGGCCCGCGCCCGAUUAGCUAGUGGUGAGGUAACGGCUCACCAAGGCUUCGAUCGGUAACCGGCCUGAGAGGGCGAUCGGUCACACCGGAACUGAGACACGGUCCGGACUCCUACGGGAGGCAGCAGUGGGGAAUCUUGCGCAAUGGGCGAAAGCCUGACGCAGCAACGCCGCGUGGAGGAUGGAAGGCCCUUGGGUUGUAAACUCCUGUCGGCUGGGAAGAAGUCGUGCGGUGCUCAUACCACCGUGCGUUGACUGUACC
This 473-nucleotide ribosomal RNA is filed under the name uncultured bacterium. Its description in RNAcentral is "bacterial SSU rRNA". It matches the Rfam family "Bacterial small subunit ribosomal RNA", at positions 28 to 479 of the family's 1533-position model. The record is from RNAcentral.